RNAcentral lists this ribosomal RNA (253 nucleotides) under uncultured bacterium. RNAcentral describes it as "partial 16S ribosomal RNA". It matches the Rfam family "Bacterial small subunit ribosomal RNA", at positions 524 to 776 of the family's 1533-position model. The record is from RNAcentral.
UACGAAGGGUGCAAGCGUUACUCGGAAUUACUGGGCGUAAAGCGUGCGUAGGUGGUUUGUUAAGUCUGAUGUGAAAUCCCAGAGCUCAACUCUGGAACUGCCUUUGAUACUGGGUAUCUUGAGUAUGGAAGAGGUAAGUGGAAUUGCGAGUGUAGAGGUGAAAUUCGUAGAUAUCGGGAGGAACACCGGUGGCGAAGGCGGCGAUCUGGGUCGAUACUGACGCUGAGGUGCGAAAGCGUGGGGAGCAAACAGG